GGCUGAAAUUCGCCUUCAUGAAGUCGGAAUUGCUAGUAAUGGCAGGUCAGCAUACUGCCGUGAAUACGUUCCCGGGCCUUGUACACACCGCCCGUCACACCAUGAGAGUUGGGAAUACCCGAAGCCUGUGAGCCAACAAACGAGGCAGCAGUCGAAGGUAGAAUCAAUGAUUGGGGUGAAGUCGUAACAAGGUAUC
Molecule: ribosomal RNA, 196 nt
Filed under: uncultured bacterium
Lineage: Bacteria
Description: partial 16S ribosomal RNA
Rfam family: Bacterial small subunit ribosomal RNA
Source: RNAcentral